AGCUUUUAUCAGAUAUCAGCAGUUGUCUUUCAUGAGGGGGAAGAGUGAGGAAGGUAUCAAAGAAUAGCAGACUUGUGAACUUGAGACAGUUUUGAGUGCUUGAACUUACUCUUUCAUUUUACUUCAUCCUCCAAGGAGUGCAAUCACUUGGCGUGCCUACUUCACUUCUUUUAAGCGAAAGAACAGCAAACAGGCAAC
Molecule: non-coding RNA, 198 nt
Filed under: Equus asinus (donkey)
Lineage: Eukaryota; Metazoa; Chordata; Mammalia; Perissodactyla; Equidae
Also listed under: 1 other name
Description: Connexin-43 internal ribosome entry site (IRES)
Rfam family: Connexin-43 internal ribosome entry site (IRES)
About the family: This family represents the connexin-43 internal ribosome entry site (IRES) which allows cap independent translation during conditions such as heat shock and stress.
Source: Rfam by way of RNAcentral